Cervus elaphus (red deer) is the source of this 1325-nucleotide long non-coding RNA. RefSeq lists it as uncharacterized. NCBI's taxonomy places the organism in Eukaryota, Metazoa, Chordata, Mammalia, Artiodactyla, Cervidae. The record is from RefSeq and is a predicted model, not a curated record. The transcript is spliced from 5 exons.
AUCAGUUUUGAGUGUUCUGUUCCUUUGUUGCCUCCCCAGGGCAUCUGCACCUGGGCCUGGGAUGUUGGUGGAUAUUCAGACCCAUCAGGGGUUUUGGACCCCUACGUGCAGCUGACCCCUGGGCCUCUCCAUCCGAAGCAUCCACACUCUCAUCAGAUACGGCAUGCUUGAGUGUCGAUACCGUCUUCUCAGCUGAGAUGUUGCUUCUUUUUGGAAGAAGGCCAAGCCAUUGACUGACUAAUCAAGCUGCUUCUACGUUCUUAUUCCUGACUCAUACCUCAGCCCAGAGCUGUGUGACUCCUUCCACAUCAUCACUUGAUGGAAAGUGCUCUGGCAAAGGUCACCAGGAACCACCAUACUGCCAAAUUCAGUGGAAGGAGACCCUGGAGCAGGUAUGCCUUCUGCCAUGGAUGACAUGGUGGGGAGGGGGAAGAUGUGAUACAGAAAGAGGGGACCCCUGGAUACUUGAACAGGUGAGAGAUCCAGUCCCUGCUUGUGGGGUGGGGGGCGUGGGUAGCCCUGGGCAGAGCAGUGACCUUCCUCCGUGCAUUGAGCGGGAGGGAGGCAGAGUGGGUGCAGAUAUGGGAGGCUUGCCAAGCAUCCUCAUGGGAGGAUGAGGGAGUGCUUUCUGAUGGGGACCAUGUUCUGAACAAAGCAUGAGGCCAGUGUGGGUGAGGAUGGUGUGGGGUGUGAGGAGAGGAGACAGGAUGAGACACUUGUUUGGGAGAACAGAGAACAUGCACAAGGACAGUUAGACAGUGAGCAUGGCGCUGCCGAGUGGUGACAGGCAGGGCUGUUUUGAGAUUUGAGGUUAGGCAUUUAGGGGAAAGUCAGCUCUCUCUUUCUCCAGCAGUGUUUUGCUGUGUGGGUGCAGGCACCAAGGAGGGUGUGUGGAUUUACCACGUUUGGGCGUGGCUUCUAAGAAUAAAGGGAGAGAGAGGAAAGAAAGUGACAGCAGAGGGCAGUGAUCCUGAGCCAGAGGUGCUCCGUGUCUGGAGGGCUCAGCAAGACUGUGGGAGAGCAGUCUGGAAGGACCUCAGGUGAUGGGUGAUCAUCUGGCAGGAUGCUUGAGGUGGAGAUGGUCUAAACGGUGCCAUUUCCAUGAUGGGAGCUUGGGUUCAGUCCCUGAUUGGGGAACUAAGAUCCCAUUUGCCUUGGGGCAACUGAGCCCAUGAGCUGCCGACUACAGAGCCCAUGCAGUCUGGAGCCCUCCUGCCACAGCUGGAGAGAAGCCCGCACGCCACAGUGAAGAUCCUACGAGCUGCAUCUAAGACUUGACUCAGACAAAAAAUAAAAAAAACAACAACUAAAAUAAAGCAAAUAAA